UACGUAGGGUGCAAGCGUUGUCCGGAUUUAUUGGGUUUAAAGGGUGCGUAGGCGGCCCGUUAAGUCCGGGGUGAAAGCCCACUGCUCAACCCCGGAACUGCCAUGGAUACUGACGGGCUUGAGUACAGACGAGGUAGGCGGAAUGGAUGGUGUAGCGGUGAAAUGCAUAGAUACCAUCCAGAACACCGAUUGCGUAGGCAGCUUACUAGGCUGUAACUGACGCUGAGGCACGAAAGCGUGGGGAGCGAACAGG
RNAcentral lists this ribosomal RNA (253 nucleotides) under uncultured bacterium. RNAcentral describes it as "partial 16S ribosomal RNA". It matches the Rfam family "Bacterial small subunit ribosomal RNA", at positions 524 to 776 of the family's 1533-position model. The record is from RNAcentral.